Molecule: ribosomal RNA, 493 nt
Filed under: uncultured Oscillospiraceae bacterium
Lineage: Bacteria; Bacillati; Bacillota; Clostridia; Eubacteriales; Oscillospiraceae
Description: bacterial SSU rRNA
Rfam family: Bacterial small subunit ribosomal RNA
Source: RNAcentral
GACGAACGCUGGCGGCGCGCCUAACACAUGCAAGUCGAGCGGGGUGUUACGCUGAAGAUUCCUUCGGGAAGAUUCUUGUAACACUUAGCGGCGGACGGGUGAGUAACACGUGAGCAACCUACCCUGGAGUGGGGAAUAACACUUGGAAACAGGUGCUAAUACCGCAUGAAGUGUACCGAUGGCAUCAUCAGGUACACCAAAGAUUUAUCGCUCUGGGAUGGGCUCGCGCCUGAUUAGAUAGUUGGUGAGGUAAUGGCUCACCAAGUCGACGAUCAGUAGCCGGACUGAGAGGUUGAUCGGCCACAUUGGGACUGAGACACGGCCCAGACUCCUACGGGAGGCAGCAGUGGGGGAUAUUGCACAAUGGAGGAAACUCUGAUGCAGCGACGCCGCGUGAACGAAGACGGUCUUCGGAUUGUAAAGUUCUGUCAACGGGGACGAUAAUGACGGUACCCGUGGAGGAAGCCACGGCUAACUACGUGCCAGCCGCCGC